RNAcentral lists this ribosomal RNA (606 nucleotides) under uncultured Actinomycetes bacterium. Its description in RNAcentral is "bacterial SSU rRNA". It matches the Rfam family "Bacterial small subunit ribosomal RNA", at positions 89 to 710 of the family's 1533-position model. Lineage: Bacteria; Bacillati; Actinomycetota; Actinomycetes. The record is from RNAcentral.
GGAUUAGCGGCGAACGGGUGAGGAACACGUGAAGAAUCUGCCUUCAACUCUGGGAUAACUCCGGGAAACCGGGGCUAAUACCGGAUAUGAGCCUUGAUCGCAUGAUCGGGGCUGGAAAGUUUUUCGGUUGAAGAUGACUUCGCGGCCUAUCAGCUUGUUGGUGAGGUAAUGGCUCACCAAGGCGACGACGGGUAGCCGGCCUGAGAGGGCGACCGGCCACACUGGGACUGAGACACGGCCCAGACUCCUACGGGAGGCAGCAGUGGGGAAUAUUGGGCAAUGGAGGAAACUCUGACCCACCGACGCCGCGUGCGGGAUGAAGGCCUUCGGGUUGUAAACCGCUUUCAUCAGGGAAUAAGCGCAAGUGAAGGUACCUGCAGAAGAAGCACCGGCUAACUAUGUGCCAGCAGCCGCGGUAACACAUAGGGUGCAAGCGUUGUCCGGAAUUAUUGGGCGUAAAGAGCUCGUAGGUGGUUUGUUACGUCGGUUGUGAAAUUCAUGGGCUCAACCCCUGACUUGCAGCCGAUACGGGCAAGCUAGAGUUUGGUAGGGGAGACUGGAAUUCCUGGUGUAGCGGUGGAAUGCGCAGAUGUCAGGAUGAACACC